AUUUCUCCUUCAUCUCUAGACGACGGACGACCAGACCAGACACUGCAGUUUGGGAGACGAUCGAUUGAUCGAGACAUCGAGUCGCCGGAGGCCGGGGCCGGACACACGUACAGAUGAAGAGGAAGAAUCAAGGAUCUGGAAAGACGCCAUCAAUAUCAUGUUGGUACAAACCAGUACCAGUUGCUUCAAAUUCAAGCUCUAGUAUUCCUGCUGUUCAGAAUAUUGUAGUAUCAUCUGAAGAGGAAAACGCAAACCCAUCUGAGGAAGAGCAUCCAUCUGUAGAUGAUAACUCAACUGAUAAUCCAAUCGAUAUGCAAACUGAUGAUCAGAAUAUUGUAGCAUCAGUGGAAGUUUCAGAACAGGCUAGAGUAGGAAGUACAGCAUAUGAACGGGAUCCGGGUAAACGCCAACAGAUUUGGGAACUUCCUCUGGAUAAGCAAGAAGAAGCUCGUCGAUUUUAUAUUUCAGAGGGCCCCUUUCAGCCAUACAUGGCCAAUUAUCCGUAUAAUGAACAUCGUCGUCGAUUCCAAUAUAGCUAUUUCAUUAAUUUUCCUUGGCUAGAGUAUUCACUUGUUAAACAUCAUGCAUAUUGCCUGCCUUGUUUCCUCUUCACAAGAAAGCCAAAUGGUAGAUGUGGCUCGGAUACAUUCACAGUCGAUGGAUUUUCGAACUGGAAGAAGGUGAAUGCUGGAAAAAAUUGUGCUUUCUUAACUCACAUGGGCAAAGAUUCAAACUCUGCUCAUAACUUUUCGGUUCGAUCGUUUCAUAGUCUGAAAAAUAGUAUGACUCAUAUCGACAAGGCGAUUGUACAAGCAUCUGCAAAAAUGAUUGGAAAUGCAAGGCAAAGGCUUAAAGUUACAAUUGAUUCCAUCAGGUGGUUAACAUUCCAAGCUUGUGCUUUUAGAGGCCAUGAUGAAUCUCCGGGAUCCAUAAAUCAGGGUAAUUUUCUUGAACUGAUAAAGUUAUUGGCUUUGUAUAACAAGGAGGUGAAUGAGGUUAUCCUACAAAAUGCUCCACGCA
Brachypodium distachyon (stiff brome) is the source of this 1020-nucleotide long non-coding RNA. RefSeq lists it as uncharacterized. The record is from RefSeq and is a predicted model, not a curated record. The transcript is spliced from 3 exons. NCBI's taxonomy places the organism in Eukaryota, Viridiplantae, Streptophyta, Magnoliopsida, Poales, Poaceae.